AUGGAGGAUGCUGCUCCACCCCGCCAUGAAGGAUGCUGCUCCACCCCUGCGCCGCUCCGUGCCCCCGACGCUAUGGAGGACGCCGCUCCACCCCUGCUCCAGCCUCAAGGUUCUGAGGCAUCAUCUUGUGGAGGACUCAUGUUAAGAUCAAUCCCAAACAUCAUUGCGGCAGUGGAGCACUUGCUCAGAACAAGACAUGUUUGCAAAAUGCAUAAUGCAAAUGUUCAAGCUCUAUUCAAGUUCUGUUUAAUCCAGCUUCAUUUGGUAUUCAAGUUCUGUUUAAUACCAGCAGCAAUUAAGUUCUCUUUAAUUCAGUAUUCAGUACAGAACAUCAAGUAUUCAGUAUUCAUAAACAUCAAGGUGGACCCGGCCGAGCUCUGCCGGUGGCUCAAGAGGAAGAUGAGGAAGGAUGUCAAGAUCGUCUGCCCUCAUCCGCCGGCUGCGAAUCCUAAGCAUAAAAUGAUACUGGUUCUGGGAAGCAGCUCAAGAACCGGGAACCGGGGACAAUCAAGGGAGGUGAUCAGCAACAGUAAGAAGGCUCUGCUAGACAAUGCCCUGAGCUAG
This 564-nucleotide ribosomal RNA is filed under the name Triticum aestivum (bread wheat). RNAcentral describes it as "partial small subunit ribosomal RNA". The record is from RNAcentral. Lineage: Eukaryota; Viridiplantae; Streptophyta; Magnoliopsida; Poales; Poaceae.